UACGUAGGUGGCAAGCGUUGUCCGGAUUUACUGGGUGUAAAGGGCGUGUAGCCGCGCUGACAAGUCAGAUGUGAAAUCCGGGGGCUCAACCCCCGAACUGCAUUUGAAACUGUUGGUCUUGAGUAUCGGAGAGGCAGGCGUAAUUCCUAGUGUAGCGGUGAAAUGCGUAGAUAUUAGGAGGAACACCAGUGGCGAAGGCGGCCUGCUGGACGACAACUGACGGUGAGGCGCGAAAGCUGGGGGAGCGAACAGG
Molecule: ribosomal RNA, 253 nt
Filed under: uncultured bacterium
Lineage: Bacteria
Description: partial 16S ribosomal RNA
Rfam family: Bacterial small subunit ribosomal RNA
Source: RNAcentral